Sebastes umbrosus (honeycomb rockfish) is the source of this 2829-nucleotide long non-coding RNA. RefSeq lists it as uncharacterized. NCBI's taxonomy places the organism in Eukaryota, Metazoa, Chordata, Actinopteri, Perciformes, Sebastidae. The record is from RefSeq and is a predicted model, not a curated record. The transcript is spliced from 3 exons.
UAAAACAGUUUAUAUGUGUAGAAACUCACAUACAAUCCCUUUAAAAGGACAACAAAAAUCUAUUUUCUAGGUUUCAAAUACUCGCUGCCUGUUAGGAUUGGAGCAUUUGUAGCUUGCUCCUUUGUGGAGGACGGCAGGUGUAGUCAGCUUGGACUCACAGCAGUUACAAUGGAUCCAAAUGGUGACCCUGAGUCAUGGCACUCCACUUUGCCCGGUAACACCAGUGCUUUCUGUUCAUUUUAAUUUUUUCAUUUCAAAAGUUGUUGAAGGAUAAACCCCUUCUUGUUUUCAAGGGAGUCCUCAGGCACAAAACAUUUAAGCACAUAAAUAAUAAUGUAAUAAAUUAAACAAUUCAUACACACAUAACAUAUAUCUAUACACAUAAAAAGGCUCUCCCUCCAUCCCAUCCCAGACCACACCAACAUAACAUGAAAACAGUUAACAUGAUAAUAGAAUAAAAUUAUGUCAAAGUACUUUAUAAACUGAAAUAACUGAGAUAAAUACAAUAAAAAAAAAAACAAGUAGAUUUAAGAUGAACAAGCAAAGAAGUUUUGAAGUCAUGGAAAGAUCAAAGUUUUUAGUCUCUCAGCCCAAGCCAAGGUAACCCCCGAUGACAUCACUAUGACAUCAUCAGGGGGGUUAUUUAUUAGAUUUGAGAGAGCUCCUCCAGAACCACAACUGUUUUCUCCGGCUGAGUGGUAUUCCUCCAGACGUGUAAACUGAGCUUCAUGUGUAAAAUUGGUGAAGUGCUCCAAGCACCCGGAGUAACGGAGAGUGAUUAUAUGAAGCUCAAAAGAUAGAUUUUUUUUUUUUUUUUGGCGUGAAGUAUAUUAACUGUAGAAUCAUCGACAUUCACAGCCCAUUUUCUCAAAGCUGUGCUGCCCGGCUCGGGAAGAAUAAAAUUCAGACUGAUGGAGAUUAACGCGCUGCUUGUUCUUCCUCUUUCCUCCCGUGUUCCUCUCCUCUCCUCUCCGGGCUCUCUCCUCCCUCCUUCCUCUCUCUCUCUCUCUCUCUCUCUCUCUCUUCACCCUAACAGCUAGAGCAGUUAUUACUACUUAAAGUACUGCACUUGCUGACAGGGAGGUUCGUGGUUGUGUAUGUGUGUGUGUGUGUGUAUGUGCUGUAAAACACUGGUCUGAUGGCUCCCGUGGGUAUUUCAGAAGCUGCAGUCGCUUCUCUAAAGUUCAAGCAAUUACAUUUUCCGACCGGGUGCCAUUUGCCAAACAGUCUCUGGCUGUAUGUGUGUGUGAGUGUGUAUGUGUUUGCUCAUAUGGGCAUCUGUGUUUGUUUAUUAUGUAUGUGGCUUUUCUGUUUAAAAUAAUAUGCUGUAUCUUAUAUACGUAAAGAUCCUCAGUGAAGUACAGGAAACAGAGCUGCUGAAGGGUGUGUAGGUUGGAUAAAUAUGCAAAUAUACAGUGACCGAGGUUAAAACGGCUCACUUACACUUUGUGUAGCUUGAAAACUCUAGUUUGUUUCAUAUUUAUUGCAGAGUAUUAGUGGGUGGACUGGAGAGUAAAAAUGAAUAAUACUACUGAGGCUGAAAUUAAUGAUUAUUUUUCAUUAUAAAUUAAGCUGUUAAUGAUUUACAUAUUCAAGGUUUAUUAAUCUAGAAAAUGUCCAAAAAUAAUGAAAAAUGCACUGUGAGUUCUUCAAGUAAGUGACAGUCUAAAGGCUACAUCCACACUAAUACGUUUUCGUUUUAAACCGGCGUGCAGACGACAGUUUAGGGCUGUUUCCACAUUAAUCUCCGUCCAUACUACCACGCCUGAAAACACGUAUCACAUGACCAUUCACGUACACUUGGCAUGCCGGUGUAAACAGUAAGCAGCGCGGUUGGUUGGUCAGGUUGCAGUAAAUCCGAAAUGGCGAAAUGCAAAAUUUAACUGCACAACAGCUGCUAGACAACAAGGUCAGCGACGCUUGUAACUCAUUAUCCAUGUUGAUAUUAACCACUGGUGGUCGAGGUUGUUUUUCUUAUAGAGAAGGGUCACGUGACGGGGCGUGACGAAUCAGGAAAGGACACGUCGUGACUUGUAAGACCCGAUCAAGAAGCGAACGUGGGUGUCUACGUCAUCAUUUUCAAAGGUCUCCGUUUCUGUCCGUACAGACUGAAAAGCAACCCUGGUGUGUAAAGGCUUUUAAACCCCAGAAACAUUCAAAUUACAAUCAUAUAAAACAAAGAAAAGAUGACAAAUCUCAUAUUUGAAAAGCAGGAACCAGCCAAUGUUUGACAUAUCUGAUUGAACAUAGAGAAUGAAUCAAUUCUAUCAACUCUAUCAAUCAAUAAUCCAUUAUUUUACUGACAGAACUAGAUAUGACAUAGUACUAAAAGUCAUUUCAGGGUUAUAAGAUCAAGUUGUGUUACUGGCCAGAUCUGUGGAUCUAAAACAGUGGAUUCAGCUGUAAAGUGAGGUUUUAAGUGCAGUAAUGCAGCACUGGGUCAGUGUACUGUGGGUAGGCAGAGUGAUGUGUUUGGCAUGCUGCAGUAGAUGUGUACAUGACUGGAAUGUGUCUGAGCAGCAGGUUUCGUGUUGGCCUGGUGUAGCAUUACAGACUAGGAUUGCACCAAUAUGUGCUGUUAAAGGCCAACGCAGAUAACUUUGGGAUUGAAGACGCCAAUGAGUGAUGUUUUAGUUUUAUGUGUUUGCCAAAGAUAUCUCAGAAAGGUAAACAGAGUCCGAGAUGGAAGGUUAUUCUGGUCAGGUUGCAGCGUGAAAGCGUAUGCAUGUAACACUGCAACUUAAGAUGGUGAUGGCGAAGCAUAUUUUUGCGUACUGUACUUUCAUGAAAUCGGAUUUAAUUGUCAUAUGAGAAGUGUUUCAGUUGUAA